This 72-nucleotide transfer RNA is filed under the name Candidatus Uhrbacteria bacterium. RNAcentral describes it as "tRNA-Thr". It matches the Rfam family "tRNA". Rfam says of the family: Transfer RNA (tRNA) molecules are approximately 80 nucleotides in length. Their secondary structure includes four short double-helical elements and three loops (D, anti-codon, and T loops). Further hydrogen bonds mediate the characteristic L-shaped molecular structure. tRNAs have two regions of fundamental functional importance: the anti-codon, which is responsible for specific mRNA codon recognition, and the 3' end, to which the tRNAs corresponding amino acid is attached (by aminoacyl-tRNA synthetases). tRNAs cope with the degeneracy of the genetic code in two manners: having more than one tRNA (with a specific anti-codon) for a particular amino acid; and 'wobble' base-pairing, i.e. permitting non-standard base-pairing at the 3rd anti-codon position. The record is from RNAcentral. Lineage: Bacteria; Candidatus Uhriibacteriota.
GCCGAAGUAGCUCAGCGGUAGAGCAACGCUUUCGUAAAGCGUGGGUCGUGGGUUCGAUUCCCACCUUCGGCU